RNAcentral lists this microRNA precursor (143 nucleotides) under Pteropus vampyrus (large flying fox). RNAcentral describes it as "miRNA (ENSPVAG00000026789.1)". The stretch from base 46 to 97 matches the Rfam family "mir-1302 microRNA precursor family". The record is from RNAcentral. Lineage: Eukaryota; Metazoa; Chordata; Mammalia; Chiroptera; Pteropodidae.
CAGGACACCUAUUUAAAUUUGAGUUUCAAAUAAAUGAUGAAUCAUUUUUUAGCAUAAGUAUAUCGUAUGCAAUAUUUAGGGCAUACUUAUGCUAAAAAUGAUUUGCUGUUAUCUGAAAGUCAAAUUUAAUUGAACAUUCUGUA